UACGAAGGGGGCGAGCGUUGUUCGGAUUUACUGGGCGUAAAGGGCGCGUAGGCGGCCCUCCUUGUCGCGUGUGAAAGCCCCGGGCUCAACCUGGGAAUUGCGCGCGAAACGGGGGGGCUUGAGUUCGGGAGAGGAGCGUGGAAUUCCCAGUGUAGAGGUGAAAUUCGUAGAUAUUGGGAAGAACACCGGUGGCGAAGGCGGCGCUCUGGACCGAUACUGACGCUGAUGCGCGAAAGCGUGGGGAGCGAACAGG
Molecule: ribosomal RNA, 253 nt
Filed under: uncultured bacterium
Lineage: Bacteria
Description: partial 16S ribosomal RNA
Rfam family: Bacterial small subunit ribosomal RNA
Source: RNAcentral